CGGUAAUCUCGUCUGGCCAGUCGAACUCCACCUCAUGGAGCAGGGAACCCGGUGCGAAUCCGGGACUGACGCGCAGCGGUGAGGGUGACGGGCGGACGUGUUCCGGGACCGAUGUCCCGGGGCGGCCACUGGGCGGGGAGCCCGGGAAGGCGUUCCGCACCGGUCGACCCCGAGUCCGAAGACCUGCUGGCGCUGGCGGUGACGG
This 205-nucleotide non-coding RNA is filed under the name Nocardiopsis alba. Lineage: Bacteria; Bacillati; Actinomycetota; Actinomycetes; Streptosporangiales; Nocardiopsidaceae. The record is from RNAcentral.